RNAcentral lists this ribosomal RNA (230 nucleotides) under uncultured bacterium. RNAcentral's name for it is "partial 16S ribosomal RNA". It matches the Rfam family "Bacterial small subunit ribosomal RNA", at positions 561 to 790 of the family's 1533-position model. The record is from RNAcentral.
UAAAGCGUGCGCAGGCGGUUAUAUAAGACAGAUGUGAAAUCCCCGGGCUCAACCUGGGAACUGCAUUUGUGACUGUAUAGCUGGAGUGCGGCAGAGGGGGAUGGAAUUCCGCGUGUAGCAGUGAAAUGCGUAGAUAUGCGGAGGAACACCGAUGGCGAAGGCAAUCCCCUGGACCUGUACUGACGCUCAUGCACGAAAGCGUGGGGAGCAAACAGGAUUAGAUACCCGGU